RNAcentral lists this ribosomal RNA (492 nucleotides) under uncultured bacterium. RNAcentral's name for it is "partial 16S ribosomal RNA". It matches the Rfam family "Bacterial small subunit ribosomal RNA", at positions 29 to 507 of the family's 1533-position model. The record is from RNAcentral.
AGUGAACGCUGGCGGUAGGCCUAACACAUGCAAGUCGAACGGCAGCACAGUAAGAGCUUGCUCUUACGGGUGGCGAGUGGCGGACGGGUGAGGAAUACAUCGGAAUCUACUUUUUCGUGGGGGUUAACGUAGGGAAACUUACGCUAAUACCGCAUACGACCUACGGGUGAAAGCAGGGGAUCUUCGGACCUCGCGCGAUUGAAUGAGCCGAUGUCGGAUUAGCUAGUUGGCGGGGUAAAGGCCCACCAAGGCGACGAUCCGUAGCUGGUCUGAGAGGAUGAUCGGCCACACUGGAACUGAGACGCGGUCCAGACUCCUGCGGGAGGCAGCAGUGGGGAAUAUUGGACAAUGGGCGCAAGCCUGAUCCAGCCAUACCGCGUGGGUGAAGAAGGCCUUCGGGUUGUAAAGCCCUUUUGUUGGGAAAGAAAAGCAGCAGGUUAAUACCCCGCUGUUCUGACGGUACCCAAAGAAUAAGCACCGGCUAACUUCGUG